RNAcentral lists this ribosomal RNA (571 nucleotides) under Staphylococcus aureus. RNAcentral's name for it is "bacterial SSU rRNA". It matches the Rfam family "Bacterial small subunit ribosomal RNA", at positions 181 to 739 of the family's 1533-position model. The record is from RNAcentral. Lineage: Bacteria; Bacillati; Bacillota; Bacilli; Caryophanales; Staphylococcaceae.
UUGAACCGCAUGGUUCAAAAGUGAAAGACGGUCUUGCUGUCACUUAUAGAUGGAUCCGCGCUGCAUUAGCUAGUUGGUAAGGUAACGGCUUACCAAGGCAACGAUGCAUAGCCGACCUGAGAGGGUGAUCGGCCACACUGGAACUGAGACACGGUCCAGACUCCUACGGGAGGCAGCAGUAGGGAAUCUUCCGCAAUGGGCGAAAGCCUGACGGAGCAACGCCGCGUGAGUGAUGAAGGUCUUCGGAUCGUAAAACUCUGUUAUUAGGGAAGAACAUAUGUGUAAGUAACUGUGCACAUCUUGACGGUACCUAAUCAGAAAGCCACGGCUAACUACGUGCCAGCAGCCGCGGUAAUACGUAGGUGGCAAGCGUUAUCCGGAAUUAUUGGGCGUAAAGCGCGCGUAGGCGGUUUUUUAAGUCUGAUGUGAAAGCCCACGGCUCAACCGUGGAGGGUCAUUGGAAACUGGAAAACUUGAGUGCAGAAGAGGAAAGUGGAAUUCCAUGUGUAGCGGUGAAAUGCGCAGAGAUAUGGAGGAACACCAGUGGCGAAGGCGACUUUCUGGUCUGUAA